RNAcentral lists this long non-coding RNA (721 nucleotides) under Bos mutus (wild yak). RNAcentral describes it as "lncRNA (ENSBMUG00000000977.1)". Lineage: Eukaryota; Metazoa; Chordata; Mammalia; Artiodactyla; Bovidae. The record is from RNAcentral.
CAAAGAGCUCUCUGAACCAAAGUGUCAACAGUAUUGAGACAAAGCUCUCUAGAGCAAGCCCUCAUGCCAGUGGCCUUUCUCAUCAGAUGUCUGAAGGAGACAGAUUCUGAGGAUCAGUGUCCUGUUGACUGAUGGAGCUUCUACUCCAGGUUCAAGGGCAGCGGUCCUCAGGAGACCCCAGCACUUAACAUCUUCAGUUGGAUAUGACACAUGACUCAACAAGUCUUCCUCAGUGAAUUCCUGGGUUCUCCAGUGGUGAAACAGACAGAAGGAGAAAGCACUAGGACAUCACAGAAGGAUGUGGACACUGAGCCCCAGAAACAAGAUCCAGUAGAAAGAACCAGUUGUGAUGUUGAGUCUGCUAGACAGGUUCUUGGAGCAAGAGUGAAGAGAUUGGGUCCCAUCAUUGGUACACUUUAGGUAAGUCACCACUCUUCCCUCCAUUCUCUUCUAUACAACAGGAUAACAGUACCCAAUGCUUCCGACCACCCAGGAGUUUAGGUAUGAACCCAUGUGGGAAAGCAAUAUGUGAUUGUAGGUGGGAGGGAAGGACCAGUGUACUACAUUAACAGAUACACCCCAGAUAUAUUAGAAUUUUGCAUGGUAGGCGUUAAAUUACCUUUUUUAAGCCGUACAGCAUGUGGGAUCUUAGUUCCUCAACUGGAUAUUGAACCCACAUCCCCUGCAUUGGAAGCACCGAGGCUUUACUGCUGGACUGCCA